Molecule: transfer RNA, 72 nt
Filed under: Loxodonta africana (African savanna elephant)
Lineage: Eukaryota; Metazoa; Chordata; Mammalia; Proboscidea; Elephantidae
Rfam family: tRNA
About the family: Transfer RNA (tRNA) molecules are approximately 80 nucleotides in length.
Source: Rfam by way of RNAcentral
ACCCUGGUGGCUCAAUGGUUAAGCACUCGGCUGCCAGCUGAAAGGUUGUUGGUUCAAACCUAUCCCGCGGUU